This 74-nucleotide transfer RNA is filed under the name Fidelibacterota bacterium. RNAcentral's name for it is "tRNA-Ile". It matches the Rfam family "tRNA". From Rfam's summary of the family: Transfer RNA (tRNA) molecules are approximately 80 nucleotides in length. Their secondary structure includes four short double-helical elements and three loops (D, anti-codon, and T loops). Lineage: Bacteria; Pseudomonadati; Fidelibacterota. The record is from RNAcentral. RNAcentral also lists the same sequence under 1 other name.
GGGCUUGUAGCUCAGGUGGUUAGAGCGCACGCCUGAUAAGCGUGAGGUCGGAAGUUCGAGUCUUCCCAGGCCCA